GGAGGGUUGCCCGAGUGGCCAAAGGGAGCAGACUGUAAAUCUGCCGGCUUACGUCUUCGAUGGUUCGAAUCCAUCACCCUCCA
Molecule: transfer RNA, 83 nt
Filed under: Polyangiaceae bacterium
Lineage: Bacteria; Pseudomonadati; Myxococcota; Polyangiales; Polyangiaceae
Description: tRNA-Tyr
Rfam family: tRNA
About the family: Transfer RNA (tRNA) molecules are approximately 80 nucleotides in length. Their secondary structure includes four short double-helical elements and three loops (D, anti-codon, and T loops).
Source: RNAcentral